This is a long non-coding RNA of Oncorhynchus keta (chum salmon), 889 nucleotides long. RefSeq lists it as uncharacterized. The transcript has 3 exons. The record is from RefSeq and is a predicted model, not a curated record. Lineage: Eukaryota; Metazoa; Chordata; Actinopteri; Salmoniformes; Salmonidae.
CUACAAUUACUGAGGUUUAAAUAUAUAGAGUACUGUACACACUACAAUUACUGAGGUUUAAAUAUAUAGAGUACUGUACACACUACAAUUACUGAGGUUUAAAUAUAUAGAGUACUACACACACUACAAUUACUGAGGUUUAAAUAUAUAGAGUACUGUACACACUACAAUUACUGAGGUUUAAAUAUAUAGAGUACUGUACACACUACAAUUACUGAGGUUUAAAUAUAUAGAGUACUGUACACACUACAAUUACUGAGGUUUAAAUAUAUAGAGUACUGUACACACUACAAUUACUGAGGUUUAAAUAUAUAGAGUACUAUACACACUACAAUUACUGAGGUUUAAAUAUAUAGAGUACUAUACACACUACAAUUACUGAGGUUUAAAUAUAUAGAGUACUGUACACACUACAAUUACUGAGGUUUAAAUAUAUAGAGUACUGUACACACUACAAUUACUGAGGUUUAAAUAUAUAGAGUACUGUACACUACAAUUACUGAGGUUUAAAUAUAUAGAGUACUAUACACACUACAAUUACUGAGGUUUAAAUAUAUAGAGUACUGUACACACUACAAUUACUGAGGUUUAAAUAUAUAGAGUACUGUACACACUACAAUUACUGAGGUUUAAAUAUAUAGAGUACUGUACACACUACAAUUACUGAGGUUUAAAUAUAUAGAGUACUGUACACACUACAAUUACUGAGGUUUAAAUAUAUAGAGUACUGUACACACUACAAUUACUGAGGUUUAAAUAUAUAGAGUACUGUACACACUACAAUUACCGAGGUUUAAAUAUAUAGAGUACUGUACACACUAUAAUUACUGAGGUUUAAAUAUAUAGAGUACUGUACACGCUAUAAUUACUGAGGUUUAAAUAUAUAGAG